GUUUGAUCAUGGCUCAGGAUGAACGCUGGCGGCGUGCUUAACACAUGCAAGUCGAACGGACCCAUUCUUCGGAAAGGGUUAGUGGCAGACGGGUGCGUAACACGUAGGUGACCUGCCCUGAAGUGGGGAAUAAUUCCGCCAACGCGGAACUAAUACCGCAUGUGCUCGGUGAUUCAGUUCACCGAGUAAAGCCGAAAGGCGCUUCGGGAUGGGCCUGCGGCGGAUUAGGUAGUUGGUGGGGUAAAGGCUUACCAAGGCGACGAUCGGUAGCUGGUCUGAGAGGAUGAUCAGCCACACUGGGACUGAGACACGGCCCAGACUCCUACGGGAGGCAGCAGUGGGGAAUUUUGGACAAUGGGGGCAACCCUGAUCCAGCCAUGCCGCGUGCGGGAAGAAGGCCUUCGGGUUGUAAACCGCUUUUAGCUGGGAAGAAAAGGCCAUCGUUAAUACCGAUGGUUCUUGACGGUACUGGCGGAAUAAGCACCGGCUAACUACGUGCCAGCAGCCGCGGUGAUACGUAGGGUGCGAGCGUUAAUCGGAAUUACUGGGCGUAAAGCGUGCGCAGGCGGUUCGUUAAGUCUGUCGUGAAAGCCCCGGGCUCAACCUGGGAAUGGCGAUGGAAACUGGCGAGCUGGAGUGUGGCAGAGGGGGGUGGAAUUCCAGGUGUAGCAGUGAAAUGCGUAGAGAUCUGGAGGAACACCGAUGGCGAAGGCAGCCCCCUGGGCUGACACUGACGCUCAGGCACGAAAGCGUGGGGAGCAAACAGGAUUAGAUACCCUGGUAGUCCACGCCCUAAACGAUGGCAACUGGGUGUUGGGGGAGCGAUUCCUCAGUACCGUAGCUAACGCGUGAAGUUGCCCGCCUGGGGAGUACGGCCGCA
RNAcentral lists this ribosomal RNA (880 nucleotides) under uncultured bacterium. RNAcentral describes it as "bacterial SSU rRNA". It matches the Rfam family "Bacterial small subunit ribosomal RNA", at positions 11 to 890 of the family's 1533-position model. The record is from RNAcentral.